GGGGGUGCCAAGGUUUCGACGGGGGUUGGAAGCGAAGGUGGCAUGCCGGAGUGGGCAGGCUCCGUUAAAAAGCCCAAUACUAAUAAACGCCGAUACUGACGUUAAUUACGCAAUAGCAGCUUAAUGCUGCUACGUCCUGUUUGUCAUUGCCUGUGUGGUAUUCAGGACGUUAAUUGCAGCAGGCUAGUUUCAGAGACCGUCUGCGGCUCUGAAGCGAAUCUAAGCAGACUCGCCCGUUAAAUAUCCUGUCUGUGGGAGCUUUAUCGGGUUAACUAAAACAUAGACUACGCAUGUAGAAGCCUUACGUGAAAGAUUUUCGGACGCGGGUUCGAUUCCCGCCACCUCCACCA
Molecule: transfer-messenger RNA, 350 nt
Filed under: Desulfuromonas sp.
Lineage: Bacteria; Pseudomonadati; Thermodesulfobacteriota; Desulfuromonadia; Desulfuromonadales; Desulfuromonadaceae
Also listed under: 1 other name
Rfam family: transfer-messenger RNA
About the family: Bacterial tmRNA, also known as 10Sa RNA or SsrA, is named for its dual tRNA and mRNA-like properties. Its role is to liberate the mRNA from a stalled ribosome.
Source: RNAcentral